GAUGAACGCUGGCGGCGUGCCUAAUACAUGCAAGUCGAGCGAACAGACGAGGAGCUUGCUCCUCUGACGUUAGCGGCGGACGGGUGAGUAACACGUGGAUAACCUACCUAUAAGACUGGGAUAACUUCGGGAAACCGGAGCUAAUACCGGAUAAUAUAUUGAACCGCAUGGUUCAAUAGUGAAAGACGGUUUUGCUGUCACUUAUAGAUGGAUCAGCGCCGCAUUAGCUAGUUGGUAAGGUAACGGCUUACCAAGGCAACGAUGCGUAGCCGACCUGCGAGGGUGAUCGGCCACACUGGAACUGAGACACGGUCCAGACUCCUACGGGAGGCAGCAGUAGGGAAUCUUCCGCAAUGGGCGAAAGCCUGACGGAGCAACGCCGCGUGAGUGAUGAAGGUCUUCGGAUCGUAAAACUCUGUUAUUAGGGAAGAACAAAUGUGUAAGUAACUAUGCACGUCUUGACGGUACCUAAUCAGAAAGCCACGGCUAACUACGUG
Molecule: ribosomal RNA, 497 nt
Filed under: uncultured bacterium
Lineage: Bacteria
Description: partial 16S ribosomal RNA
Rfam family: Bacterial small subunit ribosomal RNA
Source: RNAcentral